RNAcentral lists this ribosomal RNA (253 nucleotides) under uncultured bacterium. Its description in RNAcentral is "partial 16S ribosomal RNA". It matches the Rfam family "Bacterial small subunit ribosomal RNA", at positions 524 to 776 of the family's 1533-position model. The record is from RNAcentral.
UACGGAGGGGGCUAGCGUUGUUCGGAAUUACUGGGCGUAAAGCGUACGUAGGCGGUUUUGUAAGUUAGAGGUGAAAGCCCGGGGCUCAACCCCGGAAUUGCCUUUAAGACUGCAUCGCUUGAAUCGCGGAGAGGUGAGUGGAAUUCCGAGUGUAGAGGUGAAAUUCGUAGAUAUUUGGAAGAACACCAGUGGCGAAGGCGGCUCACUGGACGCGUAUUGACGCUGAGGUACGAAAGCGUGGGGAGCAAACAGG